UUUCCGUAGGUGAACCUGCGGAAGGAUCAUUAUAGAUUGGCCGAAAGGCCGUGUCUUCAUCCACACACACCGUGAACAAACCAAGGUCCAGUCAAGAACUCUCUCGCUCUUCCUCUCACGAGGUCGUCCGCCCUCACGGGUGGCAUGGUGAAAACCCUGUCAGAAGCGGUUUGCUUGGCCGGACCCCAACCACAAACAAAAUGUAAAGAAUGUAAAAUAUCGUAACAAAACAAAACUUUCAACAACGGAUCUCUUGGCUCUC
RNAcentral lists this unclassified non-coding RNA (262 nucleotides) under soil metagenome. RNAcentral describes it as "partial contains small subunit ribosomal RNA, internal transcribed spacer 1, and 5.8S ribosomal RNA". The record is from RNAcentral.